AGUGUCAUUCGGAGCGAAGUGACGACACCAUCUUUUUUCUUUGGAUUAGUGCUACUUCACUCUUACACAUAGUAAAGCUGCGACAGUAUGAUAAACGUCAUUUUUAAGUUAGGAGAAGUACGAAGUUAGCUGAUGUCUUUCCUGUUAUUUUUAUUUAGUCACUGUUUACAUUGGACAUUGACAUUUAUUUGUAGAUGUUUUUAGACGAAUAUUCUGUUUGGUUUUGUUUUUUAUUGUUAAUUGUGCAGCGAAAUUGUGAUAGUAAAUUAAAUAUAAAGUUGUUUAUAGCCUACAGAACUGAAUUAUCCCAUAGUAAUUAUCAGUUUGUGUCAAUUUGUUUGUGUGUAAAAAAGAAAAAACACCUUUCCUUGUGUUUGACCGACUUGUAGCAAGGGCUUUCUUGAGAAGCCUGUAAAUUGCGGGAAUAAGACAAACAGGGAUAAAAUCCUCACUUUUUACUGUUCCCAAGGCUAUACAUUUCCCCCAUGCAAUACAUUUAAAUGCAUUUUAUCCAAACAAAGGCAGGAACAUUGGAUAAAAGCAAUAAAGAGAACAGACCACAAAUUAAAAUAUGAGAGUAUGUAGUAAACAUUUUAUAAGUGGAAUAAACACCAGCUAUUUUAAAUGUAGGAAAAGGAGAAACUGUUGGAAUCUAAUUUUACACAAAUGUUUUUGACUAUUGAAGAUUUGGAUAAACAACAGAAGUUACUUUGGGCUAUAGCUAUGUGCAGAUUUAUUUCCUUGUGGAUUACUAUGUUUAUUCUUUUUAACUAUACUUCCUAUAUUGUUUGUGAGAUUAAUAUUAUUAUUUAAUUGAUUAUAUUAAUAUUUUGUAAUAAUAAUCAAUGCUUUGGUUUAACAAAUAGACAACUUAGAAUAGAAAAA
Molecule: long non-coding RNA, 885 nt
Filed under: Diabrotica virgifera virgifera (western corn rootworm)
Lineage: Eukaryota; Metazoa; Arthropoda; Insecta; Coleoptera; Chrysomelidae
Description: uncharacterized LOC126882107
Source: RNAcentral